Molecule: transfer RNA, 74 nt
Filed under: Nanobdellota archaeon
Lineage: Archaea; Nanobdellati; Nanobdellota
Description: tRNA-Pro
Rfam family: tRNA
About the family: Transfer RNA (tRNA) molecules are approximately 80 nucleotides in length. Their secondary structure includes four short double-helical elements and three loops (D, anti-codon, and T loops).
Source: RNAcentral
GGGGCUGUAGUCCAGCUUGGUUAAGAUUCCAGGUUUGGGACCUGGCGACGGGGGUUCAAAUCCUCCCAGCCCCA